UAUGAAACAGGGCAAAGUCGUUGAAAAACGGCGGCGCAAAGCUUUGGGUCUAACGUUUAGGUUAAUAUCCCUAAACUAUGAUCGCCAGGCUGCCAUU
This 97-nucleotide non-coding RNA is filed under the name Acetivibrio clariflavus. RNAcentral describes it as "Clostridium clariflavum c-di-GMP sequence". It matches the Rfam family "c-di-GMP-I riboswitch aptamer". Rfam says of the family: GEMM was predicted in a large-scale screen for bacterial structured RNA regulatory elements. Genes associated with GEMM are involved in a diverse array of functions, including chemotaxis regulation, signal transduction, secretion and chitin. Lineage: Bacteria; Bacillati; Bacillota; Clostridia; Acetivibrionales; Acetivibrionaceae. RNAcentral also lists the same sequence under 1 other name. The record is from RNAcentral.